CGGGACACGUGGUAUCCUGUCUGAAUAUGGGGGGACCAUCCUCCAAGGCUAAAUACUCCUGACUGACCGAUAGUGAACCAGUACCGUGAGGGAAAGGCGAAAAGAACCCCGGCGAGGGGAGUGAAAAAGAACCUGAAACCGUGUACGUACAAGCAGUGGGAGCCUCUUAAUGGGGUGACUGCGUACCUUUUGUAUAAUGGGUCAGCGACUUAUAUUCUGUAGCAAGGUUAACCGAAUAGGGGAGCCGAAGGGAAACCGAGUCUUAACUGGGCGUUAAGUUGCAGGGUAUAGACCCGAAACCCGGUGAUCUAGCCAUGGGCAGGUUGAAGGUUGGGUAACACUAACUGGAGGACCGAACCGACUAAUGUUGAAAAAUUAGCGGAUGACUUGUGGCUGGGGGUGAAAGGCCAAUCAAACCGGGAGAUAGCUGGUUCUCCCCGAAAGCUAUUUAGGUAGCGCCUCGUGAAUUCAUCUCCGGGGGUAGAGCACUGUUUCGGCAAGGGGGUCAUCCCGACUUACCAACCCGAUGCAAACUGCGAAUACCGGAGAAUGUUAUCACGGGAGACACACGGCGGGUGCUAACGUCCGUCGUGAAGAGGGAAACAACCCAGACCGCCAGCUAAGGUCCCAAAGUCAUGGUUAAGUGGGAAACGAUGUGGGAAGGCCCAGACAGCCAGGAUGUUGGCUUAGAAGCAGCCAUCAUUUAAAGAAAGCGUAAUAGCUCACUGGUCGAGUCGGCCUGCGCGGAAGAUGUAACGGGGCUAAACCAUGCACCGAAGCUGCGGCAGCGACGCUUAUGCGUUGUUGGGUAGGGGAGCGUUCUGUAAGCCUGCGAAGGUGUACUGUGAGGUAUGCUGGAGGUAUCAGAAGUGCGAAUGCU
Molecule: ribosomal RNA, 880 nt
Filed under: Escherichia coli
Lineage: Bacteria; Pseudomonadati; Pseudomonadota; Gammaproteobacteria; Enterobacterales; Enterobacteriaceae
Description: partial 23S ribosomal RNA
Rfam family: Bacterial large subunit ribosomal RNA
Source: RNAcentral